This 67-nucleotide small RNA is filed under the name Domibacillus iocasae. RNAcentral's name for it is "Bacillaceae-1 RNA". It matches the Rfam family "Bacillaceae-1 RNA". The record is from Rfam by way of RNAcentral. Lineage: Bacteria; Bacillati; Bacillota; Bacilli; Caryophanales; Bacillaceae.
GUAGAUGGAACAAAAGCUAAGAACGUGGCAUCGUGCCACAACGCUUUUGUGACCUACAUCCUGUAGG